This 995-nucleotide long non-coding RNA is filed under the name Gossypium raimondii (Peruvian cotton). Its description in RNAcentral is "long non-coding RNA (GRAI_LNC007628)". Lineage: Eukaryota; Viridiplantae; Streptophyta; Magnoliopsida; Malvales; Malvaceae. The record is from RNAcentral.
AAAAAAGUACUCCAUUAUUUUCAUAAAAUAAUAUCAAAUUAUGACUACCUUUAAAGUAUAAUUUAUUGGAUAAACUACACCGUAGGUCAUUCUAAACUAGUAUUAUUUCUAUUUUGGUCACUCUAUAAUUGCUCAAAUUAGUCACUGACAUGACUUUUUUUUUUACUUUUGACUAAAGCCAGGGACUUUGCUAUAAUUAGCCCAAAACAUUUGUUUUUGUUUAUUUGCAACAUAAGAACCACAUAUCCUUGUCACCACUCAUCCCUUGCUUUCCAUCUCUAUUGCUCCUCACUGCACCAUAAAAACCACGUUUCAUCACUGUAUAGCCCAAAUUUCGCCCGGGCCCAAUAACAGUCCAGAUUACAAAAAACAAAAUAGCAGGCCCAAACCCGGAGCCCAAAACAAGGCCCAACUGGCCCAACCCGCUCAAAGCUAAGCUAGGGUUUCAGAAGAGAAACCCUAGCGCCGCACCUAAGGUCUUUAGACCUUUAGUCUUCCGGCGCCGCCUUCACCAGCACUGUCACGCCACCACCUCACGUCCCAUCGCCACUUGCCUGCAACACCAGAGAAGGAAAUGACAAGAAAAAAUAAUAAUAAUAGAAUACAAGUUGUAAAUGGCUAUAAAGCUAUAACAGAAAUCAAAAAAAGGGGGGACCGAACUUCAUUCUUGUAACGGGGGGGUUUCUUUUUUUGUUAACGUUUUCAGAAAUAAAAAGCAAAAAAAAAAGAGUUUAAAGGUGAUUGUCGGUUCCCUUUUAUUUUCGUUUUCUUCUCAGAUAUUUUAAUUUUUUUUGUUUAUUUAUUUAUAUAAACAUAUAAUAUAAAGAGAAAAGUGCAAAAAAAAAUACCUUUCUUGAAUUUUCUGGCCAACGUGUACGGUGGCAGGCGCGGCGGCGUCAACGGCGACCCUCCAUGCCGGAUUCUGGGCUGAGGGAGGGAGAGAGAAACUUGAGAGGUUUUUUUUCAGUUUUUUUUAGAAGGAGAAGAAGAAAAUG